CGGCGGAACACGUGAAAUUCCGUCGGAAUCCGGGAGGACCAUCUCCCAAGGCUAAAUACUCCCUAGUGACCGAUAGUGAACCAGUACCGUGAGGGAAAGGUGAAAAGCACCCCGGAAGGGGAGUGAAACAGUUCCUGAAACCGUGUGCCUACAAGUAGUUAGAGCCCGUUAAUGGGUGAUAGCGUGCCUUUUGUAGAAUGAACCGGCGAGUUACGAUUUGUUGCAAGGUUAAGCGGAAAAAGCGGAGCCGUAGCGAAAGCGAGUCUGAAUAGGGCGCAUAAGUAACAGGUCGUAGACCCGAAACCAGGUGAUCUACCCAUGUCCAGGAUGAAGGUAAGGUAAUACUUACUGGAGGUCCGAACCCACGCACGUUGAAAAGUGCGGGGAUGAGGUGUGGGUAGCGGAGAAAUUCCAAUCGAACUUGGAGAUAGCUGGUUCUCUCCGAAAUAGCUUUAGGGCUAGCCUCGAGGUAAAGAGUCAUGGAGGUAGAGCACUGUUUGGACUAGGGGCCCUUCUCGGGUUACCGAAUUCAGAUAAACUCCGAAUGCCAUGUACUUAUACUCGGGAGUCAGACUGCGAGUGAUAAGAUCCGUAGUCGAAAGGGAAACAGCCCAGACCACCAGUUAAGGUCCCCAAAUAUAUGUUAAGUGGAAA
Molecule: ribosomal RNA, 654 nt
Filed under: Listeria monocytogenes
Lineage: Bacteria; Bacillati; Bacillota; Bacilli; Caryophanales; Listeriaceae
Description: partial 23S ribosomal RNA
Rfam family: Bacterial large subunit ribosomal RNA
Source: RNAcentral